CGGGGCAGGGGAGACGGGUUCAAAAAAUAAUUAAAAAUCGAGGAAAUACCCCAGACAAGACCUUUCGCCGUGAAAACCCCACAGAGGACCCAGGCUACCCGCAACGGAGGUUUGGGGUGCCGGGAAGGUCUGGACCGCGACCCCUGGGGCUUUGGAUACCGAGGGGGAAACUUGCAGGGGUGAGCGCGGCGGCGGGAGUGUCCGGCCGCGGCCCACAAGGGCAGAGGCCGGGGACGGUGGCGAAGAGCUGGGGGACAGACGAGAACGGGGAGCCGCCGGAGAGAGGCGCGGGGGGCUCCGGCCUCUCCUUCGGGGGGGACCCGCUAUCGCCCCUGCACACACCUCCUCCCCCCUCCCACCCCACCCAGCUCUCCGCACCCAGGAAACUGAAGGCCGAAACGAGGACAUAUGAGAAAACUGGCUCCUACAGGAUUGAUGUUGAAAAUUCACCUUCCAGAAGAUGCCCGGGCAUCCAUGUAGACUGGACUUGGUCUCUACCCUCUCUGUCCUGGGCAGUCAGACCUGGUGCCUGGUGGUGACCUCGAGCCAGAAGAAGCCUCUCGCCAAGAUCACCAAGAAGGAGGCAUUUGUUUCUCCGUGCUGGCUAAGCUAGGAAAGCCUGGCUUUGAGAGGUUUUUUGUAACAAGAAUUGAAACCUAAA
Molecule: non-coding RNA, 661 nt
Organism: Delphinapterus leucas (beluga whale)
Lineage: Eukaryota; Metazoa; Chordata; Mammalia; Artiodactyla; Monodontidae
Source: RefSeq, a predicted model, not a curated record